This 236-nucleotide long non-coding RNA is filed under the name Sorghum bicolor (sorghum). RNAcentral's name for it is "long non-coding RNA (SBIC_LNC017654)". Lineage: Eukaryota; Viridiplantae; Streptophyta; Magnoliopsida; Poales; Poaceae. The record is from RNAcentral.
UUAGGGAAGCAAUCAAGGCAACUUAGAAGAUGAAAUAGGUGUUUUCGUCAACUACAAAGUUGUAGAGGACCUUCAGACCUACUAUCUCGUGAAAUAUCAUGAUUUUAGCCCAUCAGGUUUGAGAUUUAUGAAUUUUCAAAGUUUGCUGUCAGGUUUGAACUGCAUGCUGUACAGAUCUGAAGUUUGGUGUGUUUUCGACCAUGUUAGUUCGAAAUUAGAUUUUGCUGAUAACUAGG